ACUUUCUCUCUCUUCACCAUAUUUCGCCACUUGUAGCUAAUUUAACGGUCGCCAUUUUGUAUAAAUAGGGACCACCACUUCACCAUCUCCUCAUCAAUUCUACUUCAUUCUAUCAUCCACCAAAGGGUUUUAGAGAGAGAGGGAGUGAUCUAAAGAGAAAAGAAGAGGAAAAGAAGAAGAAAAGGCAUAGGAAACACCAAC
This 201-nucleotide long non-coding RNA is filed under the name Carica papaya (papaya). RNAcentral describes it as "long non-coding RNA (CPAP_LNC016269)". Lineage: Eukaryota; Viridiplantae; Streptophyta; Magnoliopsida; Brassicales; Caricaceae. The record is from RNAcentral.